Molecule: long non-coding RNA, 1253 nt
Filed under: Nicotiana tabacum (common tobacco)
Lineage: Eukaryota; Viridiplantae; Streptophyta; Magnoliopsida; Solanales; Solanaceae
Description: long non-coding RNA (NTAB_LNC006243)
Source: RNAcentral
CUAUUCCUUGGAUAAACAUUAAUUAUAAUAUAUUUUUAUGAACCCCACAAACAAUUCUUUUAAUAUCCUAGAUAUUUGUUUUUUUUGUUGGAUCAAUCACAAAUGAAGACACUUUUACUAAACAAUAUUUUCACAAUAAUCACUUCGUUACUUACAAUCAUUCAAGCUGUUAGUAAUCAAAUUAAUACAAUCAUAGGCAUCAGGACUGUCCGUUCUUGGUCAGCAAGUGCUGGGGACAAAGAAGAAUUAACACAAACUUGUACUGUUCUUGAAACAUCUACUGACUUCUAGUAUCAGUACAAAUUCCUUGCACACUACUUCUUUAGAAAUAAGCACUGUAGAUUGAGAACCAAGCAUGUCCACACGCCAGGCAAAAAAUAUAUUAGCAUAUAUUAGGUUACCAGAUUAAGCAGUUUUGAUAUUUGGUUUUGAGAAGAAUAAGAACUGGAUAAUGCUGGAAUAUAUAUUUUUACCUCUUUGGCUUGUGAAACAAAAAGUUAGAUACUGCUAGAUACACAAGACAUUAAAAUAGAGAUCAAUAUAAUGUAGUCAUGUGAAACUCAGAAAAGCAAGACGAAUCCAGGAUUAAUAUGAUAACUCCAAGACAUGCUCGAAUAAAAGAUCCAACAUGAAAGAAACUUUAUCAAAAGAGCUAAAUCGAUUUGCUUCUGUUUCAACAAAAAUGCCUCAACAUUUUCAACUUAAGAACUUAAAUUACAUACCUGAUUUAGCCACCAAAAAGAAUAAAUCUCUGAAGUUGCAAGGAGAUGAAAGCAAAAGAAUGACACAACAACAACAGCAGUAUUUAGGAAAAUUGAUGCCCAAAUUCCAGCUUCAUUUUGAUUUUUGUUUGAAACGAUUUUUUCGGAUUUUUCUUCCAAUUUUGAUUUCCUAGUGUGUUUGGGUGUUUAUCAGAGAAGUAAGGAAAUGUAGGGAGUCAGAUAUGAGAAUUGGGUGUUUCUCUGUGUGUGUUUUGAGAAAAUGAUGAAGCAAACAGAAGAAAGGGAGCUGGGGUUGCGCUGUUUGCUCUGGUUUUUGCAAAGGUCCGAGUCUGAUUUUCUCUUUUGGAAGGAAAUGGUUCUCUUCUAAUUGUUCUUAGGUUGAAGAUGCAGACCGCGGGGGAUGCACCGUUUUGGUGAAGGAAAUUAAGAAUCUGAUCUCUUCUCUAAGUUUCCUAAUGUGUAUAUAUAUUAGAGUGUAGGAGGUAGAGUUUAAAAAAAGGGAAUGGGUAUUUGUGUAGUGGGCUGAGAUUG